AAAGAAACUAACAAGGAUUCCCCUAGUAACGGCGAGUGAAGCGGGAAGAGCUCAAAUUUGAAAUCUGGUGGCCUCAGGUCAUCCGAGUUGUAAUCUAUAGAAGUGUUUUCCGUGCUGGCUCAUGUACAAGUCCCUUGGAACAGGGCGUCAUAGAGGGUGAGAAUCCCGUCCUUGACAUGAACUACCAGUGCUCUGUGAUACAUUUUCAACGAGUCGAGUUGUUUGGGAAUGCAGCUCAAAAUGGGUGGUAAAUUCCAUCUAAAGCUAAAUAUUGGCGAGAGACCGAUAGCGAACAAGUACCGUGAGGGAAAGAUGAAAAGCACUUUGGAAAGAGAGUUAAACAGUAUGUGAAAUUGUUAAAAGGGAAACGAUUGAAGUCAGUCGUGCUCUUUGGAUUCAGCCGGUUCUGCCGGUGUACUUCCUUUGAGUGGGGUCAACAUCAGUUUUGAUCGCUGGAUAAAGGCUGGAGGAACGUAGCACCCCCGGGUGAACUUAUAGCCUCCUGUCACAUACAGUGGUUGGGACUGAGG
RNAcentral lists this ribosomal RNA (530 nucleotides) under Cryptococcus sp. ST12.14/005. RNAcentral's name for it is "eukaryotic LSU rRNA". It matches the Rfam family "Eukaryotic large subunit ribosomal RNA", at positions 58 to 592 of the family's 3401-position model. The record is from RNAcentral. Lineage: Eukaryota; Fungi; Basidiomycota; Tremellomycetes; Tremellales; Cryptococcaceae.